This 434-nucleotide ribosomal RNA is filed under the name Polychalca salebrosa. RNAcentral describes it as "partial large subunit ribosomal RNA". Lineage: Eukaryota; Metazoa; Arthropoda; Insecta; Coleoptera; Chrysomelidae. The record is from RNAcentral.
CCGAAAGGUCGAAUGGGGAAAUUCAUUCGCGUUUCGAUUGUCGGCGUUGAACGGUUGUGUGACGACGGAGUACGCUUCGUCCGCACCUUCAGUUUUUCGAACCGACUUCGAACGCGUGCACUUUUCCCCUAGUAGGACGUCGCGAUCCGUUGGGUGUCGGUCUAAGGCCUGCGGUGGAGCUCGCGCGGACGUUUCGACGUUCUGCACGAACCCGCAGUGUCCCGAUCGACUCGCUCGACGGUAUAAAGAUGGCGCGGGGCCGCUACUCAGUUAGCGUUCGGCCUACGGCAAGCACGUACGGACGGCGAUCAGACCUGGUCGGAUCCCGUCCCGGACGACUGUUGGCACGUAGUGUUCUCGAACAGACCUCGUUGAAAUGCCGAUCUGCGACGCUAUAGCUUUGGGUACUUUCAGGACCCGUCUUGAAACACGGA